UGCCAGCCGCCGCGGUAAUACGGAGGGAGCAAACGUUGUCCGGAAUCAUUGGGCGUAAAGGGUACGAAGGUGGGAUCUUAAGUCAGUUGUUAAAGAUUACGGCUUAACCGUGAUUUGCAAUUGAAACUGGGAUUCUUGAGUUCGAGAGGGGACGGUGGAAUAUCUAGUGUAGCGGUGGAAUGCGUAGAUAUUAGAUAGAACACCUGAGGCGAAGGCGACCGUCUGGCUCGUAACUGACACUCAAGUACGAAAGCAUGGGUAGCGAACAGGAUUAGAUA
RNAcentral lists this ribosomal RNA (278 nucleotides) under uncultured bacterium. RNAcentral describes it as "partial 16S ribosomal RNA". It matches the Rfam family "Bacterial small subunit ribosomal RNA", at positions 506 to 784 of the family's 1533-position model. The record is from RNAcentral.